AUUGAACGCUGGCGGAAUGCUUUACACAUGCAAGUCGAACGGUAGAGGGGGCAACCCCUCGAGAGUGGCGAACGGGUGAGUAAUAUAUCGGAACGUGCCCAGUCGUGGGGGAUAACGUAGCGAAAGUUACGCUAAUACCGCAUACGAUCUAUGGAUGAAAGCGGGGGAUCGCAAGACCUCGCGCGAUUGGAGCGGCCGAUAUCAGAUUAGGUAGUUGGUGGGGUAAAGGCUCACCAAGCCAACGAUCUGUAGCUGGUCUGAGAGGACGACCAGCCACACUGGAACUGAGACACGGUCCAGACUCCUACGGGAGGCAGCAGUGCGGAAUUUUGGGCAAUGGACGCAAGUCUGAUCCAGCCAUUCCGCGUGCAGGAUGAAGGCCCUCGGGUUGUAAACUGCUUUUGUACGGAACGAAAAGGUCUCUCUUAAUACGGGGGGCUCAUGACGGUACCGUAAGAAUAAGCACCGGCUAACUACGUGCCAGCCGCCGCCGUAA
This 496-nucleotide ribosomal RNA is filed under the name uncultured bacterium. RNAcentral's name for it is "partial 16S ribosomal RNA". It matches the Rfam family "Bacterial small subunit ribosomal RNA", at positions 30 to 523 of the family's 1533-position model. The record is from RNAcentral.